GCUGACUAGCUGACACAUCUCCUCUGGGUCCUAAAGCCCACCUUGUGAGAGCUGUUGCUUCCUCGGGUGUCACGAGCUGCGACGUCAGGAUCCUGCCAGCAGGUCCUAAACCUGAAAGGACGAGGACAGAGAGACGGGAGGCACUCUUCUUCUCAAGGCACUACUGCACUGCUUUAUUACCGAACCUCUCCUUUUAUACUCUCCUGCUGCGUGGCUGCAAGAGAGUACUGCCCACACAUCCGGAAGGAAACCACUCAGACUUCUCUUACUUGUGUUCCAGCUACUUGUGAUAAGAAGAGUAUGUCAAGCCAGCACAAGACCACCUGCCAAAUAACAAUAAAAAAGCUUAUGUGAUAUGUAUUUUAUGUAUGCUGUAUAUGUCAUGUAUGUUAUACACUGAGCAGUCCAGACAAUGCCAC
Molecule: long non-coding RNA, 419 nt
Filed under: Fukomys damarensis (Damara mole-rat)
Lineage: Eukaryota; Metazoa; Chordata; Mammalia; Rodentia; Bathyergidae
Description: lncRNA (ENSFDAG00000025199.1)
Source: RNAcentral